CGCCCAACAACUAGCCCCCCCAACUAACUGCAACCACCCCUAUUAAUACCCCCUAAGUACCCCCGUAUUUAGAUUAAACAAACCAUUUUUCCCCCUUAGUAUAGGCGAUAGAAAAGG
Molecule: ribosomal RNA, 117 nt
Filed under: Furcina ishikawae
Lineage: Eukaryota; Metazoa; Chordata; Actinopteri; Perciformes; Cottidae
Description: partial 16S rRNA
Source: RNAcentral